Molecule: non-coding RNA, 1044 nt
Organism: Meleagris gallopavo (turkey)
Lineage: Eukaryota; Metazoa; Chordata; Aves; Galliformes; Phasianidae
Source: RefSeq, a predicted model, not a curated record
CUCUUCUGGAGAUCUACUCUGAUGGAGUUUCACAAGUGAGCCCAGGAUAUGGGUGUAACUUCCCAUUGCUUUCUGAAACACUCAAUUUUCUGGCCUUUUACAUAUGCUGUUCUGGUGAGCCAAGUCUCCGAGUGCUAUAUUCAAGCUGCACAGACAUCUUGCCAUGACACAUGGUGUUCUGGAAUUUGAAGCAAGCCCUGUUUCUGUAUCAGCACAGGAGGACAUCUGAGCUCAUCCACUUGAUGAACUGGGUAGAUUUGGUUGCGGUAUGGCCACAGAGAUAGAGAUCCUUUGGACUGCCUAAGUAUCUGAAUACAGCACCAGCAGAUACAGCAUCUAUAAUGUGAUGCCUUGAUGCCCUGUUACUCACAGCACUGCAGCCAUUUGGAGUUGCUUUCAUAUGUUGGUACAAGCUCAAAUUUGACAGAAACACUGUUAAAGCAGUCGCUUCAAACUAUUGCAAUAACAGUGCAUUUCAUGGAAUCAUAGAAUGGCUUGGAGUGGAAGGGACCUCAAAGAUCACCUAGUUCCAACCCCCUGCCAUGGGCAGGGUUGCCAACUGCUAGAUUAAGCACCAUAUCAGGUUGCAGAGAACUCUAUCCAAUCUAGCUUUGAACACUUCCAGGGAAGAGGGCGUUCAGAACAUCUCUGGGUAGCCUGUUCCUGAAGUUUCCUGAAAAUUUGGCAUACAUAAAUUUCUUCCUGAAGUUUGUGCUAUUUCUGUAGAAGAAAAUUAAGAUAUAAUUCCAAUGAACAUCAACUGUCUGUACUUCAGAGCCUGCAAAGAUUGCCACCCUCAUUGGAUCCACAGUGCGAAAUGAUCUUAGUGACCUCCACCAGGCAUCUCAUGGAGGGGACAUCUUGUGUGCAGUGUCACCUGUCACCUACACUCCUGCUGGAGACUCUUGGUGAAAUCCAACACAUACACCAAUGUUUGUGAGACCAGGGCAUUUCUGUCCUAUUUUAAGUGACUACUGUAAUUUCUAGGAAGCAGAACGGUGAUGUUUUGGUUUAAGUCUACUCAUACAGUAUCUGCUUGGAUUG